Long non-coding RNA from Synchiropus splendidus (mandarinfish), 5169 nucleotides. RefSeq lists it as uncharacterized. The transcript is spliced from 3 exons. The record is from RefSeq and is a predicted model, not a curated record. NCBI's taxonomy places the organism in Eukaryota, Metazoa, Chordata, Actinopteri, Syngnathiformes, Callionymidae.
CACGUUGAUAUCUAACCUGAUCAGUUUCUGCUGACUUCCACUACUAAUUCAGUGUAAAUCAAUUCUCAGUGAGUCAAAGCCAAGACCGGAAAGGCGGAUGCGAGAACCGGAAACGAGCAUUGGUGACGUCACAGAGGUGGAUCCUGUCGGCGGAGCGUUUGAAUGCACGUAAACGAAGCUCUUCUCAGUAUCAGAGGAGAUAUGGCCAUGUUCUUGAGGUGCCGGGUGGGCGACUAUGGACCACAGAGAUUAAAGAUCUAAACUGAAGAAAUGCAAGCCUGUUUUUUAUGGCUUCUUGAGAACUCUGUGACUCAGCUUCUACUGGAGCAGCUGUGAUGCUAGUGUGAUCAUGUGACCCUUGGAUCCGCUGCCAGAACUUCAUCAAGUCCAGGUCACUGCCCAGAACACAGGUCACCAACGUGGUGUGCAUCUGAAACUCUGAAGGCUCUGGUUCUUCUGUUGAGGUGGCCCCAUUUUCAGAAGACUGUUGACCUGAUCCAGAACACUGACCCGUCACAUUUGGGACCUGUGGGCUCAUGAUCUCCACUGGAGGUCAUGGUCUUCCCUCGCUUGCUGGGACAAUGAUUGUCUGUGUCUUAUUCUCUCAGACCCAGACACAGCACACCGGCGCCUCCUGCUGUCCAACAACAACAGCAUGGUGGAACUAGUGACGGAGGAUCAGGAUUAUCUGGACCAUCCCGACAGGUUUGAGCGGUGUCCUCAGGUGAUGAGCAGAGAUGCUGUGACUGGUGUCUGUUCGUGGGAGCUGGAGUUUCUGUGGUGUAAUGGUGAUGCUGGAUAUCAGGUUUGUCUCAGUCCUGAUCCACCUCUGCACCUUCUUCAGAUUCUUCCACAGAUCUUCAUUGAUGCAUAUAUAUCGCGAUUUCCUUCUGGUUUCCACAUUGUUGUGCAUCUCCAUCUAAUGAUUAUACAAGAAGUUAUUGCAAAUGCUCCUGAAUGUCUGAUGCAGGCGUGUCAUUUUAAGAGACUGGAAGUGGUUCCCAGAGCGGGAAAGAUUCCUCCAGUGUGAGAGCCUUGUGGAGCAGCGUGGCGGUGAUCACACUGAUAGAGACGCGGUUACAUGAUGGCACAGGUUUAUUGACAUUAGUUGCCUUAGUUGGGCCAAGGUUGGACUUGGUGUAGGGACAGAACGCUAACAUCAUCGGACCAGAACAUUCCUGCUAUUCCCACAGCUGCCGAUCGAAACUCUGACGAGUGAAUGUUUAACGCUGUUAUUCCAACUCUGUCUCCGAUUGUUCGUUCCAAACUGGCUCUGUGCAUGGAGCGAUUUCAGUCUGGCGCAGACCACAACAGCUCUGGUGGAGGGAACGACACCGACAUGUCACUCUAGCAAUGCAAAGUAAACAGAAGAAAGUUUUCACUGCGUCUUCUCAGAGAGUUUUAUUCCAAACUCAGUGAGGGAGACUGCAAACCUCUUGCUGUGGUCUGCUCCAGGAUGGAGACCACGGAACACCUGCGCUCAAAACCCUCAGAUCAACACCGUUCUUCUGUGGUCCUUCUGUCUUCGUGGCUUCUGACUGGCUUCUCGAGUGGGAAUAAUUUCUCGCCCGAAAUGAUAUGUUUAGUGACAUCAUGACAGCUGAAGGCCAGCGGCUUCAAAAUUCCACCACCGGUGAGAGUCAUGACUCCCAUGAGGGAUGAAAAUGAUUUCAGCGACUGCCUCACUGCGAGCCUGCUGUGACUCUGUGUAUGUGUGUGUAGGACUUCAGGAGCGUGACGCUGCCGUGGUGCGACACGCCCAUGGGCAAGACACAUUCCUCCGUCAGCUGCUCUCUGUCGCUGUCCCAGCACAUCACGGUGGAGAUGACCUGGUUCUUGUUGUCCCGCCCGCCGGUGAUGAAGAGUUUGUUGCUGCAGGCAGCAAUGGCGCAGCUCGCCCUCUCGCCCAGCCGCGUCACCAGAGACCAGGAGUCAGUCAGCGGUGUGUAGCGGUACAUGGCAUGCAUGGCUCCGCCUGCGUGUCACGGAUGAGACGAUUUCAAAUGAAAACGUUUGCUUGUUGACAGCUUAAAAGGUUCAGAGAUGAGGAGCAGCUCCUCUGUGUCUGAGACCAUGGAUGGAGUGUUCUGUCCUGGUGGGAGUUGAAACCCUCCUCAGGUGGUCAAGUACCUCAGGGUCCUGACCACGAGUGAGGUCAGGAAGCAACAUCUCAGUCAAGAGCUGAGCCAGAAGACAACGCUUCUGCUCUCACCUGUAGUCACCAGUCUCCAAGACUCCCUCCUCGAGAGGGAUGCUCAGUCAUCCAGGAGAGACUCAGAGGAGAACCUCUGCUCCUCCAAGAGAAGCCACUGAGGUGACGAGUGAGGUGUUGAAUUCGGGGGAGGUCUACCCAGGAGACACCGUAGAGACAACAUCUCUCAGUAGACCUGAACCACCUGCAGAAGAUCUGGUAGUUUCUGGAGGGAGAAGCUGUUGCCCUUGAGGCCCAACCUCAGAAGAGUGAUGGAAGACAGAGGGACUGACGUGAGGCACCUACCGACGAUGUAGAUGUGGUCCUUAAAGCUGACUGCGUUGGUGCACUUGGUUUCAAUGGGCAUUGGCGCUCGCAGCUCCCAGCCGUCGGACCCGGCUUCCCAGCACUGAACCUUAUCGGUGGCCAGCUUGCCGUUUGGUCCUCCUCCGAUCACAUAGAUCCAUCUGUCGAAGGUCGCCGCGGCACAGGAGCUGACGCCUUCCGCAAGAGGAACAACCUGGAGGAGAAGGAACAUCUGGAGUUCUUGUAGCGCUUUUCUGAAGUGUAUACAGCCAACGUCACUGAAUUCUUUUUGAAUCUACCAUCUGCCUCGACCCACUUUCCCAAAACAUACCUUCCGAACCUGCUGCCUAAAGCCUGGGUUUCCAGCCCCAGCAUGUGUUUCUCAGCAGCUAACGCCAGCGUUGGCCAGUGUUCAUCCUCACCUCCGUCCAGCGGUUGUGAAAGGGGUCAUAGGCCUCGACGCUAUCAAGCCUCUGAAGUCCAUCGAAGCCCCCGAGAGCGUAGACCUUCCCGCCCAGCACCGCCAUCUUGUGUCUCCAGCGGCCCGUGGUCAGCGGCUCGAUCUGGAUCCACUUGUCCAGGGCGCCGUUGUAUUUCCAGACGUCCCUCUGCGUCUCUUUGCCUCCUGCGACCACACAAACAUGACGUGACACCGCUUGUUAUUAGGAUUCAACUUGGAACGUUUCAGUGAGUUUCACUCACAACAAGUGGCUGAAACAAGAGGACAUGCUGACUCGCAACGAAGCCUCACUGAUGAAGCUGUCUCACCAGAUAUGAACACCUCGUUCCGGAAGGUGAUGCAGGCAAACUCCACCCAUUUCCUGCUCUUGGACUCGUCCUCCGUCUCCGUCAGAGGCAGCAGAGCGACCUCCAGGCGGCUGCGCCUGAGAGGGUCCAGACAGGUGACCGUGGGGACGAAGCGCUCCUCUUUGGUGCAGCCACCGAUGAUCAGGAAGACCUCAGACAGGAAGUGCUUCAUGCGAGGCUUCGUUCGCUCGGAGACCACCUGGAAGAAGAAGACUGAGUUCUGUUGGACCGUGGCGAGAGUCUGGCCUCGAAGAUCGGAGGCGAGGAACCUCGUCACCUCCAAGAGAAACGGAGAUUAAAUCUGACCCUAGGACUGAAGAGACUUGACGGAUCCAGUUUCCACUAACCCGUGUACUGACCUCUCUGCCGGACAGGUGGUAGGUCCGCGCCUCUUGCAACAGUGGAAAGGUCUCAUGGCAGAGUCGAAUCAGCUCAUCAGACUCCACGUUGUCCACAAAGUAAGCCGGGUCCAUCAGUGGCAGCCGGACACGCGAGAGCAGCCGGGCCAGCCCCCGACAGCGCUCGUCCGGCCGAGCUCUUAUCCAGCGCAUCAGCGCCUCGAAAACGCGCUCCUCGCUCUUCACGUCCAGGUCGCUCCUCCCCAGGAUGGACUCCAGGGACUCGGCAGGAAGAUCCAGGAAGUCCUGCUGCUGGACCACCUGGGAGAACUGAGCGGAGAUGUAGUCCUGGACCUUGGUCUUCAGAGACGGGAGGUUGUGGUCGACGGACAGCUUCAGGAUCUCGACACAGCUCUCCAGGCAGAGCGAUCUGCUGAGGAAGGCGGCGCAGGCAUCCACCACACGUAGGAACUGUGGGAGACAGACAACGCAGGAGGGUGAGGCUUCAAGGGAGUUCAGGCCUGACCUGGAGCUUCAUGAAGCACCGCCAUCAAAGCUUCAGAGGCGGCGCGCUUGAACAUCUAACAGAGAGCGCCCUCCAGUGGGUGAAAGGAUGGGUUCAUGAAGCUCCGUCAGUGGAGCUUCUACCUUCUGCUCACUCGCCCACGUCACACGCUCGUCCUCACUUGAGUCUGUCUGUGCUUCCAACCCUUCUUCAGUCAGUCCUGGUGACCAAGUGAUCGUAGAUGAGUCAUGUUUCCGCUCCACCCUACUGUCACGUGGAAACAUCGUAGCUUCGGAGCCGCACCUGGGCCGUCGAAAGUUUCACUUCCUGCUUCAGAAGGACUUGCUGCGCACUCGUCUAGUUUCAAGUGACGUUCGGGGCCGAAACCGAAAUUAUCAAUUGAACGACGUUUAUCACCGCAGAACAAAAAGUUCACCCUGCAACUGCACUCAACUGGACUCUUGAACCUCACUGAUCCUCUCCGUCGUCUCUUGGUUCUCUCCACGUGCUGUUCACCCUGUCUGCACUCUCUUCGUCUGACCAGUCGUUGGAUCAGUGUCUCCUCGAAGGUCAGUCGAUGUUCUGCACGAUCAGCCGAAUAUUGACCGUCCAGCCGCAGGUCCCCGUCACCGCCCGAGCGAGUUCCUCUUCAUGAUGAUGUCAUCUCAUGUGCCUCGCAGCUGAUGCGGUGUGUGACAUGUUUAGUAUCUCGCUGGCUUCCUGCCCGUCGUGUCAAAUGAAGGCUUCUCGUGGCUUGGCGGCUGAAACAAACAACUCGCCCCAGGAGGAAGCGUGGUGCUACUCUGAUGGAACCCUUCCUGUGCUGGUCUCUUGCUCUGGCUGUCUCCAGCUGGGUGGUGUGGUGUGACCUGCUGCUGGUGAGAGGGUUGGAGCCAUGCUGAUGGACUGACCUGGAACUGGCUGGCAGCCUCCAGGAUGCUCUGGACGUUGGCCUGUGUGAAGACAGCUCUGCUGGUGUAGGUGUAGCGCAGCAGCGUCUGCAUGGUCUCCCGGUCCACGCC